GCACAAGCGGUGGAUGAUGUGGUUUAAUUCGAUGCAACGCGAAAACCUUACCCACCUUUGACAUGUACGGAAUCCUUUAGAGAUAGAGGAGUGCUCGAAAGAGAACCGUAACACAGGUGCUGCAUGGCUGUCGUCAGCUCGUGUCGUGAGAUGUUGGUUAAGUCCCGCAACGAGCGCAACCCUUGUCAUUAGUUGCUACAUUCAGUUGGGCACUCUAAUGAGACUGCCGGUGACAAGCCGGAGGAAGGUGGGGAUGACGUCAAGUCCUCAUGGCCCUUAUAGGUGGGGCUACACACGUCAUACAAUGGCUGGUACAAAGGGUUGCCAACCCGCGAGGGGGAGCCAAUCCCAUAAAGCCAGUCGUAGUCCGGAUCGUAGUCUGCAACUCGACUACGUGAAGUCGGAAUCGCUAGUAAUCGUGGAUCAGAAUGUCACGGUGAAUACGUUCCCGGGUCUU
Molecule: ribosomal RNA, 457 nt
Filed under: uncultured Rhodoferax sp.
Lineage: Bacteria; Pseudomonadati; Pseudomonadota; Betaproteobacteria; Burkholderiales; Comamonadaceae
Description: bacterial SSU rRNA
Rfam family: Bacterial small subunit ribosomal RNA
Source: RNAcentral